UCUGCUCCAGCCCACCUCCUGACAAAUACUGAUCUUCUCAUUGUCUCUAUAGUUUUGCCUUUUCCAGAAUGUGAUGUUGUUGGAAUCAUAUAAAAUGUAACCUUUUCUAAGAGGUAUCUAAUGGUAUCUUGUAAUUGUUUUAAUGUUCAGUUGCCUGAUGACAUAUGAUGUUGAACAUGUUUUCGUAUGCUUAUUUGCCAUCUGUGUAUCUUUUGGCAAGGUAAG
This is a non-coding RNA of Vicugna pacos (alpaca), 225 nucleotides long. Lineage: Eukaryota; Metazoa; Chordata; Mammalia; Artiodactyla; Camelidae. The record is from RefSeq and is a predicted model, not a curated record.